UGGCCCUAUCACCCUAAAACAUUGGUUCUCGUCUUAUCACCGAAGUUAAGCAACAUUGAGUGUGGUCAGUACCUAGAUGAGUGACCACUUGGGAAUAACAGGGGCUA
Molecule: non-coding RNA, 107 nt
Organism: Acanthosepion pharaonis
Lineage: Eukaryota; Metazoa; Mollusca; Cephalopoda; Sepiida; Sepiidae
Source: the annotation of a GenBank genome assembly